UUUUUUUUCACUUUUUCUAUUUUGUUGCUGCAAUGCCUACACAGUACACGUUUUUCUGUCAAAGAAGACUGAAUAUUUUAACAUUGUAACACGAUAAUAGAUGCUUUUCAUGCCUCUUAAGGAAAAACAACCUAUUCCGAACGUUGUUGGCUUGUUUAAAUCACACUAACAGAACGAAAGCCGAAGAGUUAAUUCUAUUAAAAGUAGUCAUUUCUGUAUUGAUAUUACAUACACAAUAUUAGUUAUUAUUUAUUAGACGAAUAUGUAGACCAACCACCAUUAAUGACGUUUCAUACACGCAUACCUGCAUAAACCGGAACCUGGGAAUGUGCUGUAUACAUACAAGAGAACAGUCAAGGAAGGAGGAGGAGACUGGGUAACAGAUCACUAGGCAUCCUACUCUGUUUAAUCUCCUUUACUGGAUUGCAUAUAUAAAUAAAAUAUAUUUGUUUUAUAUAUAUAUAUUUAUAUAUUAAACAGAGUGGGCCCAAUUCUGCCCUCACACCUGUGCAAAAGCAAUUUUGGAGAACUAGGAUUGUGUGAGAGCAAAAGAAGGCAGAAUUUUACCCAGAACGAACACAUCUGGGCAGAUCUUGGGCAGAUGGGAAUUCCUUGAAGGGUUGGAGGGGCGGUUAUGUACUCCAGGUGGGAAGAUGGUUGUAUUUAUCCCGAGGGUUCCUUACAUGCAGCCAGACAUCAGGGUACUGACAAGUGCUAGAUGUCAAGUGCGGGUGGCAGAUUUGCAACUGGCACUGUUGUUCCAACCGCCACAUCCAGCCAUUCCUCACCUUCCCACCUGCCCCACUAAAACCCAUCCAGCCAGGAAAUUUGCCCAGUUUUCCUCCUGUUUGCCCAACUGGAGCCAUUUCAUGGCCUGGUGUCCCAGGGGAUGGCAUUCCUGCCACGUGGCAGCUAACGUGGCACUCUACUAGCAGGUAUUCGCUGGGGGCCCAGGGAAAGGAGCAGCUCUCCUCCUGCCCUGGUACCCACUGCUCCUUGAUGCUGAGGGGGAACUUGCCGGCCUGUGCCCUCCUUCAUGGCAUGUUUCAGAACAACCCACUCCACAUUUGGGGACCUGCUCUGCACUUUGCAUGGAAGAUAACAGAUUCACUGGCUUAUCACCUCCUCUAACUACUUCCUUCGUAUUCUUCAGAGCAAAAAGUACCACAGAUUGGCAAGGUCCUCCCCGAAAGGGUGAGAGGGACACCCUGUAAGCAGCAUCUUCCCUCCUAGGCAUCUGCUCAAGGGCCUUCCACCUUUGAGGGCUCACCUUUUGAAGGUCUCAAGAAAUGAAAGAUGAAAUUCUACUAUUCACAAUCCAAUUCAGAGUUGUCCAACGGUAGUGGGGUGCACAUGGCAGCAGGUCCCAGCUACUCUACACUGGACUACUAAAGGAAGAGACCUCUGGGCUACAUUUGCCCCCUCCCCAGAAAAGCCAGGAAAUAGCAGAAGGGAAUCUCUCACAGGCUGCAACCACCUACAACCACCAGCCAGUCAGCAGAGAUCUCAUCCACAAUGUCUUUACCUUCUUUUACCAAUCUGAAAAGAUUUGGUCAGAAUUUAUUCUGAACUACAGCUUGGUUGGACACCACCAAAGCAGACAAUGCUACCAAGAAGAAUGAGACAUACAGAGGUGUUGGUUUCACAACAGUGCUCAGAUGUUUCCAGACACCAGGAUCAUAACAGACAUCUGGUCCACAUGUGCUGCUACCAGUUCAUGGUUCAACAUGACAUCCAUGUUCCCCCUGCUGCCAAGAGCAAAAUACCUCGCUCUGGAGCUACAACAGUGUCUGCCAAACACACCCUCAGUGAGCAGAGAAGCCUUUGCACAUCCCACCUCCUCCUACGAACCCUGUCAGAACUUCCACUGACUCCACAGUGAGGUACACUGGUUCUCCACUCCCACCACACAGCAUACACUGCACAGAGCUGCUCUUAUUGCUUGACAACAUGGACGUUAGUAACCAGCAGAUAUGGAUCACAGGUCUGCUCUGGCAGAUUAAUUGGCCUAUCAUUAUGAUUGAUUGAGUGUACAAAAACAUACUGCGGUGUAAAGAUGACAUACUUUCGUACAAUCAAUAAGGAGAAAAAGUGCAUCUUAAAAUGUGGAGCCUUGCUCUUGAAACUCAGCAUCCUGUCUGGAGUUUUGUGAGAACUUUAAGGCAGAGUUUCCUUUAGCAGACCACAAUGCUGAAGACUUGGACAGCUUUCUCAGUGAGGUAUCCAAACAAAGCCCUGUAACUGAGGCUUUGUAGGUUCUUGAGGGUCCAUUUUCAGCUGGACAUAUGCAAUGGCUGUUAAGUAAAGGCACUCUAGUGUACAGCCUUAGGCAGUGUGUUAUUGGCAGUAGGAGUAAGUUUAGUACAUCACAGCAGAUCCUAUAGCAGGUUCCUAGAACAGAAAGGGACAGGAAAGAGAAAAACUGAGCAAACCACAAAACAAGCCUGAAGAUUCCACAGAGCCAGGUCCUUCCUCUUCUCACCUCCCCACCUAUUUUCCACACAUGUAGUGG
Molecule: long non-coding RNA, 2512 nt
Filed under: Strigops habroptila (Kakapo)
Lineage: Eukaryota; Metazoa; Chordata; Aves; Psittaciformes; Psittacidae
Description: lncRNA (ENSSHBG00005001894.1)
Source: RNAcentral